RNAcentral lists this ribosomal RNA (391 nucleotides) under uncultured bacterium. RNAcentral's name for it is "partial 16S ribosomal RNA". It matches the Rfam family "Bacterial small subunit ribosomal RNA", at positions 523 to 917 of the family's 1533-position model. The record is from RNAcentral.
AUACGGAGGAUCCGAGCGUUAUCCGGAUUUAUUGGGUUUAAAGGGUGCGCAGGCGGCCAUUUAAGUCAGCGGUUAAAUCGUGGGGCUCAACCCCAUUCUGCCGUUGAUACUGGGUGGCUUGAUUGCGGUCGAGGUUGGCGGAAUUCGUUGUGUAGCGGUGAAAUGCAUAGAUAUGACGAAGAGCACCGAUUGCGUAGGCAGCUGACCAGAACGCAAAUGACGCUCAUGCACGAAAGUGCGGGGAUCGAACAGGAUUAGAUACCCUGGUAGUCCGCACAGUAAACGAUGAAUACUUGUUUUCGGCGAUAUAAUGUCGGAGGCAAAGCGAAAGCGAUAAGUAUUCCACCUGGGGAGUACGCCGGCAACGGUGAAACUCAAAGGAAUUGGCGGG